Molecule: ribosomal RNA, 490 nt
Filed under: uncultured bacterium
Lineage: Bacteria
Description: partial 16S ribosomal RNA
Rfam family: Bacterial small subunit ribosomal RNA
Source: RNAcentral
AUUGAACGCUGGCGGCAGGCCUAACACAUGCAAGUCGAACGGUAACAGGAAGCAGCUUGCUGCUUUGCUGACGAGUGGCGGACGGGUGAGUAAUGUCUGGGAAACUGCCUGAUGGAGGGGGAUAACUACUGGAAACGGUAGCUAAUACCGCAUAACGUCGCAAGACCAAAGAGCGGGACCUUCGGGCCUCUUGCCAUCGGAUGUGCCCAGAUGGGAUUAGCUAGUAGGUGGGGUAACGGCUCACCUAGGCGACGAUCCCUAGCUGGUCUGAGAGGAUGACCAGCCACACUGGAACUGAGACACGGUCCAGACUCCUACGGGAGGCAGCAGUGGGGAAUAUUGCACAAUGGGCGCAAGCCUGAUGCAGCCAUGCCGCGUGUAUGAAGAAGGCCUUCGGGUUGUAAAGUACUUUCAGCGGGGAGGAAGAGAGUAAAGUUAAUACCUUUGCUCAUUGACGUUACCCGCAGAAGAAGCACCGGCUAACUCCGUG